This 393-nucleotide ribosomal RNA is filed under the name uncultured bacterium. RNAcentral's name for it is "partial 16S ribosomal RNA". It matches the Rfam family "Bacterial small subunit ribosomal RNA", at positions 523 to 918 of the family's 1533-position model. The record is from RNAcentral.
AUACGGAGGAUGCGAGCGUUAUCCGGAUUUAUUGGGUUUAAGGGGUGCGUAGGUGGUAGAUUAAGUCAGCGGUGAAAGAUUGUCGCUCAACGAUAAAAUUGCCGUUGAUACUGGUUUACUUGAGUAUAGUUGAAGUAGGCGGAAUGCGUGGUGUAGCGGUGAAAUGCAUAGAUAUCACGCAGAACUCCGAUUGCGAAGGCAGCUUACUAAGUUAUAACUGACACUGAAGCACGGAAGCGUGGGUAUCAAACAGGAUUAGAUACCGUGGUUGUCCGCGGAGUAAACGAUGAUUACUAGCUGGUUGCGAUAUGCAGUAAGUGGCGCAGAGAAAGCGUUAAGUAAUGCACCUGGGGAGUACGCCGGCAACGGUGAAGCUCAAAGGAAUUGACGGGU